AUCAUUAGUAUAUAUAGUACAAAAAUUUGCAAAAUUUUUAGAUAAUUGGUUUUA
Molecule: transfer RNA, 54 nt
Filed under: Lernaea cyprinacea
Lineage: Eukaryota; Metazoa; Arthropoda; Copepoda; Cyclopoida; Lernaeidae
Description: tRNA-Cys
Source: RNAcentral